GUUGGCCUACGGGACGCAGCAGUGGGGAAUAUUGCACAAUGGGGGGAACCCUGAUGCAGCGACGCCGCGUGGGUGAAGAAGUCAUUCGUAACGUAAAGCCCUAUCAGCAGGGAAGAAAAUGACGGUACCUGACUAAGAAGCCCCGGCUAACUACGUGCCAGCAGCCGCGGUAAUACGUAGGGGGCAAGCGUUAUCUGGAUUUACUGGGUGUAAAGGGAGCGUAGACGGCGGCGCAAGUCCGGAGUGAAAGCCCACGGCCCAACCGUGGGACUGCUCUGGAAACUGUGCGGCUUGAGUCCGGGCGG
Molecule: ribosomal RNA, 305 nt
Filed under: uncultured bacterium
Lineage: Bacteria
Description: bacterial SSU rRNA
Rfam family: Bacterial small subunit ribosomal RNA
Source: RNAcentral